Molecule: ribosomal RNA, 757 nt
Filed under: Bacillus anthracis (anthrax bacterium)
Lineage: Bacteria; Bacillati; Bacillota; Bacilli; Caryophanales; Bacillaceae
Description: bacterial SSU rRNA
Rfam family: Bacterial small subunit ribosomal RNA
Source: RNAcentral
CUAUACAUGCAAGUCGAGCGAAUGGAUUAAGAGCUUGCUCUUAUGAAGUUAGCGGCGGACGGGUGAGUAACACGUGGGUAACCUGCCCAUAAGACUGGGAUAACUCCGGGAAACCGGGGCUAAUACCGGAUAACAUUUUGAACCGCAUGGUUCGAAAUUGAAAGGCGGCUUCGGCUGUCACUUAUGGAUGGACCCGCGUCGCAUUAGCUAGUUGGUGAGGUAACGGCUCACCAAGGCAACGAUGCGUAGCCGACCUGAGAGGGUGAUCGGCCACACUGGGACUGAGACACGGCCCAGACUCCUACGGGAGGCAGCAGUAGGGAAUCUUCCGCAAUGGACGAAAGUCUGACGGAGCAACGCCGCGUGAGUGAUGAAGGCUUUCGGGUCGUAAAACUCUGUUGUUAGGGAAGAACAAGUGCUAGUUGAAUAAGCUGGCACCUUGACGGUACCUAACCAGAAAGCCACGGCUAACUACGUGCCAGCAGCCGCGGUAAUACGUAGGUGGCAAGCGUUAUCCGGAAUUAUUGGGCGUAAAGCGCGCGCAGGUGGUUUCUUAAGUCUGAUGUGAAAGCCCACGGCUCAACCGUGGAGGGUCAUUGGAAACUGGGAGACUUGAGUGCAGAAGAGGAAAGUGGAAUUCCAUGUGUAGCGGUGAAAUGCGUAGAGAUAUGGAGGAACACCAGUGGCGAAGGCGACUUUCUGGUCUGUAACUGACACUGAGGCGCGAAAGCGUGGGGAGCAAACAGGAUUAGAUACC